Molecule: ribosomal RNA, 509 nt
Filed under: uncultured bacterium
Lineage: Bacteria
Description: partial 16S ribosomal RNA
Rfam family: Bacterial small subunit ribosomal RNA (bases 20-332)
Source: RNAcentral
GACGAACGCUGGCGGCGUGCUUAACACAUGCAAGUCGAACGGAAAGGCCCUGCUUUUGUGGGGUGCUCGAGUGGCGAACGGGUGAGUAACACGUGAGUAACCUGCCCUUGACUUUGGGAUAACUUCAGGAAACUGGGGCUAAUACCGGAUAGGAGCUCCUGCUGCAUGGUGGGGGUUGGAAAGUUUCGGCGGUUGGGGAUGGACUCGCGGCUUAUCAGCUUGUUGGUGGGGUAGUGGCUUACCAAGGCUUUGACGGGUAGCCGGCCUGAGAGGGUGACCGGCGAGGGUGAGACGGAGAACAGGCCGACGGGCGGAGGGGGGGCGGCGGGGUGGAAGAGGGGGCCAGGGGCGGGAGUCUGGGGCGGCGAGGCGGCGGGCGGCAGGGGGGGCUGCGGUUUGUCGACAGCUGUCGCCGGGGGUGACGGGUGGGUGGAGGAAAUGAGUAAGACAGAGCCGAGAAACUCCGUGCCAGAGGCCGGGGUAAGAGCGGGAAGAGCAGACGUGGGAGU